UACAGAGGUGGCAAGCGUUGUUCGGAAUUACUGGGCGUAAAGGGCGCGUAGGCGGUCCCGUCAGUCCCUUGUGAAAUCCCCCGGCUCAACUGGGGAACUGCAAGGGAUACAGCGGGGCUUGAGUUCGGGAGAGGGAAGCGGAAUUCCGGGUGUAGCGGUGAAAUGCGUAGAUAUCCGGAGGAACACCGGUGGCGAAGGCGGCUUCCUGGACCGAUACUGACGCUGAGGCGCGAAAGCUAGGGGAGCAAACGGGAUUAGAUACCCUGUAGUCC
Molecule: ribosomal RNA, 272 nt
Filed under: uncultured prokaryote
Description: partial 16S ribosomal RNA
Rfam family: Bacterial small subunit ribosomal RNA
Source: RNAcentral